This 512-nucleotide ribosomal RNA is filed under the name uncultured bacterium. RNAcentral's name for it is "bacterial SSU rRNA". It matches the Rfam family "Bacterial small subunit ribosomal RNA", at positions 28 to 526 of the family's 1533-position model. The record is from RNAcentral.
GACGAACGCUGGCGGCGUGCUUAACACAUGCAAGUGGAGCGACGAACCAGGGCUUGCCCUGGGGCAGAGCCGCGAACGGGUGAGUAACACGUGGGUAACCUACCCCGAUGACUGGGACAACCCGAGGAAACUCGGGCUAAUACCGGAUGUACUUAUCACUCCUAAGGGAGAUAAGUAAAGGAAGCUUCGGCCUCCGCUUCGGGAGGGGCCCGCGGCCCAUUAGCUUGUUGGUGAGGUAACGGCUCACCAAGGCGACGAUGGGUAGCUGGUCUGAGAGGACGAUCAGCCACACUGGGACUGAGACACGGCCCAGACUCCUACGGGAGGCAGCAGUGGGGAAUCUUGCGCAAUGCGCGAAAGCGUGACGCAGCAACGCCGCGUGGGGGAAGAAGGCCUUCGGGUUGUAAACCCCUUUCAGGAGGGACGAAGGUGCGGCGGCGAAUAGCCGUCCGUACUGACGGUACCUCCACAAGAAGCCCCGGCUAACUACGUGCCAGCAGCCGCCGUAAAAC